AGGAUGUUACUUAGUAACAAUUG
RNAcentral lists this small nuclear RNA (23 nucleotides) under Arabidopsis thaliana (thale cress). RNAcentral's name for it is "snRNA_15836". The record is from RNAcentral. Lineage: Eukaryota; Viridiplantae; Streptophyta; Magnoliopsida; Brassicales; Brassicaceae.